GACGAACCGUGCGAACGUUAUUCGGAAUCACUGGGCUUAAAGGGCGCGUAGGCGGGCCGCCAGGUCCGGGGUGAAAGCCUCCAGCUCAACUGGAGAAGUGCCUUGGAUACCGGCGGCCUCGAGGGAGGCAGGGGCGUGCGGAACUUCGGGUGGAGCGGUGAAAUUCGUAGAUAUUCGGAGGAACACCAGUGGCGAAGGCGGCUCACUGGCCCGGUACUGACGCUGAGGUGCGAAAGCGUGGGGAGCAAACAGG
RNAcentral lists this ribosomal RNA (253 nucleotides) under uncultured bacterium. RNAcentral's name for it is "partial 16S ribosomal RNA". It matches the Rfam family "Bacterial small subunit ribosomal RNA", at positions 524 to 776 of the family's 1533-position model. The record is from RNAcentral.